This is a non-coding RNA of Cyphomyrmex costatus, 73 nucleotides long. NCBI's taxonomy places the organism in Eukaryota, Metazoa, Arthropoda, Insecta, Hymenoptera, Formicidae. The record is from Rfam.
GCCUUUGUAGUCUAACUGGUAAGGACUCUCGUACGGAAUGUAAGAGAUCCGGGUUCGACUCCCGGCCAAGGUA